RNAcentral lists this ribosomal RNA (253 nucleotides) under uncultured bacterium. Its description in RNAcentral is "partial 16S ribosomal RNA". It matches the Rfam family "Bacterial small subunit ribosomal RNA", at positions 524 to 776 of the family's 1533-position model. The record is from RNAcentral.
AACGUAGGACACAAGCGUUAUCCGGAGUUACUGGGCGUAAAGGGCGUGUAGGCGGAUCGGUAAGUCUACUCUGAAAGCUCCUGGCUAAACUGGGAGAGGCGAGUGGAGACUGUCGGUCUAGAGUGAGGAAGAGGAAAGUGGAAUUCCGCGUGUAGUGGUGAAAUGCGUAGAGAUGCGGAGGAACACCAGUGGCGAAGGCGGCUCACUGGCCCGGUACUGACGCUGAGGUGCGAAAGCGUGGGGAGCAAACAGG